CCGAUUUCUAAGAUGGGCUUUUAAAAUUCAAAGGCUGGUGACUGGUGGUCUUCUCAAGUAAGCCAUACUGCCAUAUCAUUAUCAUCCCUACUACUAGCCACGUACAAAGCUAAGUUAAGAAAUAUCAUUUGAUCUCUCACAAAAUCAACAACUCAUCUUUCCCAAUUCUCCCUAGGUCAAAAAAAAAAAAAAAACGAACACACACACAACCUCCUCCUUUGGCCUCAUAUUCACCUGUACAAUCAAAAUUCUCCACUCUCCAGUGCCGUCAGCCUCCAUUUGUGUCGAUGCUCUAAUUUUGACUCAAAAAACUUCAGAUAGAUUCAUCAAAUGUCGACAUCGAGAAUGUAUCAAGCUACGAUUCUAAAGGAGAUGGAAGAGGAAAGAGGAAAUCACAAAAUGUCGAAAAACAAACUGCAAAAAAGAUAGCUAAAACCACAACAACGAAGAAAACGACAGGUUCUAAAACAUCAGGAAAAUCUACUAUUUGGAUUGAUUUUGAGAAGUAUAAAGAUGAGGACGGAAACCAACGAGCAAGAUGCAAGCAUUGCUCGAAAGAUUUGGCUGCAGACACGUAUAAAAUGGCACAUCAGCAUUGAGUAAACAUAGUAGGGGAUGUGAAAAACAUCCGGAUUUUUUUUUUAAAAAACCAAAGCAAUAUUUUCUUGAAAAAAGGCGAUGAUGGUGAGGGCGGUAGCGGUGAGGUUAAGGCAUGGAAGUAUUGUGCGAAAGCAAGUAGAAGAGCCAUAGCAGAGAUGGUGUUAAUAGACGAGGUCCCGUUUUCAACUGUUGAGCAUCAGGGAUUUAGAAGGGUUAUAGAAAGUUUUAAUCUGAAUUUUAAGAUGCCUAGAAGGUUUAUGAUUGCGAGGGAUAUUGGGGAAAUAUUUUUGGAGGAAAAAGGGAAGUUGAAGUCAUUUUUUUCAAAGAAUAGCACACGGGUGUGUCUAACCACAAACAUGUGGACUUCAAAUUAGCGGGUUAACUAUAUGUGUGUUACAACUCAUUUUAUAGAUGACAAUUGGGUGUUACACAAAAGGAUCAUCAACUUCAAGCAAAUAUUCAGCCACAAGGGAGAUGAGAUAGGUAGGUCCCUUAUUCAAUGUUUAAAAGAAUGGGAUAUUGAAAAUGUGCUGACCAUACAAUUUCUAAAAAGAAGGUUAAACAACCUCUUGUUCGACGGGAGAUACUUGCACAUCCGAUGUAUGGCACACAUAAUCAAUCUGAUUGUGAAAGACGGCUUACGUGAUGGGUCAUAAUGCAUAAAUCGUAUUAUAGAUUCAAUUCGCUAUAUCAGAUUGUAUCCUAAUUAAUUAGAUACUUACAAAAAGUGUGUUAAGGCAGAAAAGAUCGAAAGCAAAGCAUUAAUAGGUAUAAAUGUGGCUACAAGAUGGAACUCGACUUGGGAGAUGUUAGACAAGGCAGAAAAAUUUGAGAAGGCGUUAAACAUAUAUGAUCUGGAUGACCCAAAUUAUAAAAAUGAUUUGGGUGAUGAUGCUCCUAGAGUUACUGACUGGAGCUACACAAGACAAUUGGCAAGUGUGUUAGAAUUGUUUCACCGUAAAACUACCAAUGCUUCUGCUCCAAAACAGUUACCGUUAAUUUAUUUUUUAACAAGGUUAUGGAUAUAGACAAGCAUUUAAGGAAGAUGAAAGACGGAAUUGACUUGGAAGGUAAACUUAUGGGUGCUAAGAUACACAAGAAGUUCGACAAGUACUGGAGAAAUAUACCGACUGGCAGAUCUUUUAAUUACAUUCUGUAUUUUGCUGCAAUUUUAGAUCCGAGGUUAAAGGUUCGUGUUAUUCAGUUUGGAUUUGAGAGAAUAUUCAGGGCUGAAAAAAAAAAGAUGAAGAGACAGAAGAUAACUUGAAGAAACGAGUUCAAAUUAUAGUUAAUAGUAUAAAGGACGAAUUGAAGCUUUUGUAUGAGCAUUAUGCAUCAAGUAGUGAAAAACAAGGUUCAGAUAAAGUUUCACCAAGUCAGGAGAACUUUGAACCAUCCGCACAAGGAGAGAGUGAUUUUUUUUUUACAGAACUUAAAGCGGAUGGCGGUUCUACAUCUUAUACCACCAAGUCAGAACUUGAGAGGCACCUAGACGACGGAGAGGAGGCCUAUUACAAGGGGUUUGAUAUUCUGGGUUGGUGGAAGGCUGCAUCUUCAAAAUACCCUGUAUUAGCGAAAAUGGUGAAAGACAUAUCGGUUAUCCCGGUAUCCAGUGUGGCUUCUGAGGAGGCGUUUAGUACAGGCGGAAGAGUUGUCGAUACUUAUCGAACUUCUUUAUCAACUCCGAUUGUCGAGGCAUUAAUAUGUACAGAGGAUUGGAUUCGUGCAUCAAUUAAAAAGGAAAUCUACAUCGAAGAUUCGGUAGAGUUUGAUGAUAUUGGAAAAGGUAAUUUUGACAUACACCGAUACACAUCCUAAUAUAUAUUGUAAGUGUUAUAUGUUGUAGGCAAAAACUAGAUAUAAUACAAAAAAUGUUAAAGGAGCAGUAGACUGUCUUAUAUUCGGAAAUUAACGAAAACAAAUAUCACAUCAUAGUCAGACCUAGCAGGUUGGUGUUUGAAGACAAGAUUCAAAUGAUACUCUUCAGGUCUAGUAGCCUAGCAGGUUGGUGUACCGAAAAAGGAUUCUAGCUUCCGCUUUUUUAAUUUCAGUGAGCCAAAUUCUUGAACACUCGAUCUAAAUAUUCUAUGAUUUGCGGUGUCUAUCUUCACUGCCUCAAGGUAUUCACCUAGAGUUUUCGUUCGCAAAUCAUGUUCCAUCAAGUAGCUCAUCCACGCAUCACUGAACCUGUUCCCCAAACAAAUCGGGUAUCCUACUAGGCAACUUCUUAAACAUCGCUGCAAUACUUUCCGGUGCUACUUUGUUCUCUGCGAGCAGCAGUUAUGGCAUAUAUGUUUAGAUACUCUGGAAGUUUACCAUGGUCAAAAGACUCCCGCUAAAGCAGGCUUCUAUGUGUAUCAGCUGAUAAACAUUCAACAAAAUAUUAAAAUUAUGAUUGAAAUACAAAAACUGCCUAGACCUAGCAUUAUGAUUGUAAUAAUGUGACCAGGGGUCGCUAGUUUCACCGUGUCAUAUGCUCGACCCUGAAGUGGCCUAACUUUCAACUAGAAAGAUCAAGAAGUGUAAGCACUUAUGAGAUAAAAUUAAUUAAUUAAUCAUUAAGACACAUUUAAAUGACAUGAAGAUCUAAGGCUACUCGGUGUGGGAAGAGGCAAGUCCUUGGAGGAUGCCCAUCCACGUCAGCGCCACGUCAACAUCCAAGGAGGAUGCCCCUCUAAGGAUGGAC
Molecule: long non-coding RNA, 3286 nt
Organism: Helianthus annuus (common sunflower)
Lineage: Eukaryota; Viridiplantae; Streptophyta; Magnoliopsida; Asterales; Asteraceae
Exons: 3
Source: RefSeq, a predicted model, not a curated record